ACACGCAUGAAAGUCAAGCUGAAAGACUUUACUCAAUGAUGUAAGUGGUGGUGCAUGGUCGUUCUUAGUUCGUGGAUUGAUUUGUCUGGUCUAUUCCGAUAACGAGCGAGACCCCAACGUUCCUAAUAGGAGUGGCAGCCCGCUGGCCGAAAGGUUAGUAGCCGCCGCUUAGGAUUAGCUUCUUAGACGUAUCAGAAUCGAUAAGGUUCUUGAAAUGGGUCAAUAACAGGUCAGUCAUGCCCUUAGAUGUUCUGGGCCGCACGCGCGUUACAAUGGCAUGUAUAGAAAGUGCUUCAAAAGGCGUUUCCGGGGCCGAAAGGCUCUGGUAACCCUUAGUCCCUGCUUUGACUGGGACAGAUCUUUGCAAUUAUUGGUCUCUAACGAGGAAUUUUUAGUAAUCGUAGGUCAUUAACCUGCGAUGA
RNAcentral lists this ribosomal RNA (422 nucleotides) under Physarum bogoriense. RNAcentral describes it as "SSU rRNA". It matches the Rfam family "Eukaryotic small subunit ribosomal RNA", at positions 1230 to 1644 of the family's 1831-position model. Lineage: Eukaryota; Evosea; Eumycetozoa; Physariida; Physaraceae. The record is from RNAcentral.